GGGGAUAUAGCUCAGUUGGUAGAGUACUUGCCUUUCAUGCACGAGGCCCUGGGUUCAAUACCCAGCACCA
RNAcentral lists this transfer RNA (70 nucleotides) under Ictidomys tridecemlineatus (thirteen-lined ground squirrel). Its description in RNAcentral is "Spermophilus tridecemlineatus (thirteen-lined ground squirrel) tRNA". It matches the Rfam family "tRNA". From Rfam's summary of the family: Transfer RNA (tRNA) molecules are approximately 80 nucleotides in length. Their secondary structure includes four short double-helical elements and three loops (D, anti-codon, and T loops). The record is from Rfam by way of RNAcentral. Lineage: Eukaryota; Metazoa; Chordata; Mammalia; Rodentia; Sciuridae.